This 301-nucleotide ribosomal RNA is filed under the name uncultured bacterium. RNAcentral describes it as "partial 16S ribosomal RNA". It matches the Rfam family "Bacterial small subunit ribosomal RNA", at positions 509 to 807 of the family's 1533-position model. The record is from RNAcentral.
CAGUAGCCGCGGGAAUACGUAGGGUGCGAGCGUUAAUCGGAAUUACUGGGCGUAAAGCGUGCGCAGGCGGUUAUGUAAGACAGGUGUGAAGUCCCCGGGCUUAACCUGGGAACUGCGCUUGUGACUGCACAGCUAGAGUAUGGCAGAGGGGGGUGGAAUUCCACGUGUAGCAGUGAAAUGCGUAGAGAUGUGGAGGAAUACCGAUGGCGAAGGCAGCCCCCUGGGAUAACACUGACGUUCAUGCUCGAAAGCGUGGGUAGCAAACAGGAUUAGAUACCCCAGUAGUCCCUGUCUCUUAUAC